Liolophura sinensis is the source of this 223-nucleotide small nuclear RNA. RefSeq annotates it as U2 spliceosomal RNA. NCBI's taxonomy places the organism in Eukaryota, Metazoa, Mollusca, Polyplacophora, Chitonida, Chitonidae. The transcript has a single exon. The record is from RefSeq and is a predicted model, not a curated record.
ACGACAAGCUUGCCCAGAGGGCUGAGGUCCUAUUCUUAUCACCCCGGAAACCCCACGGGGGGGGGGGGUGCCAGAACCUAUAGCGUGUAUACUACUACGCCUUCCAUCGGAGGGCAUCGAUAUUAAACUGAUUUGUGGAACUGGGUGAGAGAUUUGAAGCUUGCUCCAUUCUCGCCACGGGUUAACCCGGUAUUGCGGUACUUCCGGGACUGGCCCACAACUC